This 626-nucleotide long non-coding RNA is filed under the name Amborella trichopoda. Its description in RNAcentral is "long non-coding RNA (ATRI_LNC002411)". The record is from RNAcentral. Lineage: Eukaryota; Viridiplantae; Streptophyta; Magnoliopsida; Amborellales; Amborellaceae.
UUUAAGGGUCUACUCCAUAAGUGGUGCAGCAUAUAUAUAUAUAUAUAUGAUGUGGUUAGCAUGCGGCUAAGCCCGCACAUGUAGAAAUGAGGGACCCUUAAUACUUUGUUUUUUGAAAUAGAAUUGGAUCCUAAUUUUUAGAGAAUAUAUAAUCUUUAACGAGGAGAUCAUGAAUAUGAAAAAAUAAAUAAAUUUUGAAAAGUAGAAAUAAUAAUUCUAUUAAGAAAACAUUUUGAUCACUAGUUUUAAUUGUUUUUAGAUGGACCACCUAUUUGUACAAAUGCGGUGCAGCCCGCAUGAAACAAUUGUUCAUAUAUAUAGUUGUAAUAUGUGUACAAUACAUUAAACAAUUAAAUUAAAGCGUACCUCUAAAUUUUAAUAAGAUGCAAUUUUGGUGUAAAAAAUUAUUAGGAUCGCCUCAUAAUCUAUUUUUAUCUCUAAUUAUAUAAUUUAAACUCUAAAAAAUGGUCAAAUCAACUAGAUCUAUAAAAUGCAUGAAAAUCUUGAAAAUAGACAGUGCAGAUAAUUUUUUGCAAGAUGUGCUAUUUUUAGGACUUGAAUUAUCUUUUUUUCCCCAUAUCUUUACAAUUUUGUCAAGAUGAUCAAUUAGAUGUUUUAAAAAGAUC